GCUAGCGGCAGGCUUAACACAUGCAAGUCGAGGGGUAUAGGUUUUCGGACCUAGAGACCGGCGCACGGGUGCGUAACGCGUAUGCAAUCUACCUUUCACAAAGGGAUAGCCCAGAGAAAUUUGGAUUAAUACCUUAUAGUAAUACGACUUGGCAUCAAGAUGUAUUUAAAGAUUUAUCGGUGAAAGAUGAGCAUGCGUCCCAUUAGCUUGUUGGUAAGGUAACGGCUUACCAAGGCAACGAUGGGUAGGGGUCCUGAGAGGGAGAUCCCCCACACUGGUACUGAGACACGGACCAGACUCCUACGGGAGGCAGCAGUGAGGAAUAUUGGACAAUGGGCGCAAGCCUGAUCCAGCCAUGCCGCGUGCAGGAUGACGGUCCUAUGGAUUGUAAACUGCUUUUGUACAGGAAGAAACCCUUUCACGUGUGGAAGAUUGAUGGUACUGUAAGAAUAAGGAUCGGUUAACUCCGUGCCAGCAGCCGCGGUAAUACGGAGGAUCCAAGCGUUAUCCGGAAUCAUUGGGUUUAAAGGGUCCGUAGGCGGUCAAGUAAGUCAGUGGUGAAAGCCCAUCGCUCAACGGUGGAACGGCCAUUGAUACUGCUUGACUUGAAUUAUUAGGAAGUAACUAGAAUAUGUAGUGUA
This 641-nucleotide ribosomal RNA is filed under the name uncultured bacterium. RNAcentral describes it as "bacterial SSU rRNA". It matches the Rfam family "Bacterial small subunit ribosomal RNA", at positions 35 to 677 of the family's 1533-position model. The record is from RNAcentral.